RNAcentral lists this ribosomal RNA (465 nucleotides) under uncultured bacterium. RNAcentral describes it as "partial 16S ribosomal RNA". It matches the Rfam family "Bacterial small subunit ribosomal RNA", at positions 338 to 795 of the family's 1533-position model. The record is from RNAcentral.
CCUACGGGUGGCAGCAGUGGGGAAUUUUGCGCAAUGCUCGUAAGAGUGACGCAGCGACGCAGCGUGAAUGACGAAGGCCUUCGGGUCGUAAAGUUCUUUCGACAGGGAAGAAAAUUCCUAUAAGUAACUGUUUAUGUAUUGACGGUACCUGUAUAGACAGCCCCGGCUAACUCCGUGCCAGCAGCCGCGGUAAUACGUAGGGGGCUAGCGUUGUUCGGAUUGACUGGGCGUAAAGAGGACGUAGGCGGUGUUGUAAGUCAUUAGUGAAAUCCUAGAGCUCAACUUUUGUAAGGCUAGGGAUACUAUCAUACUAGAGUAUGAGAAAGGAUUGCAGAAUUCCUGGUGUAGCGGUGAAAUGCGUAGAUAUCAGGAGGAAUACCGAUGGCGAAGGCGGCAAACUGGAUGGAAACUGACGCUGAGGUGCGAAAGCGUGGGUAGCAAACAGGAUUAGAUACCCCAGUAGUC